UGGGGAAUUUUGGACAAUGGGCGCAAGCCUGAUCCAGCCAUGCCGCGUGCGGGAAGAAGGCCUUCGGGUUGUAAACCGCUUUUGUCAGGGAAGAAAUCUUCUGAGUUAAUACCUCGGGAGGAUGACGGUACCUGAAGAAUAAGCACCGGCUAACUACGUGCCAGCAGCCGCGGUAAUACGUAGGGUGCAAGCGUUAAUCGGAAUUACUGGGCGUAAAGCGUGCGCAGGCGGUUUUGUAAGACAGAGGUGAAAUCCCCGGGCUCAACCUGGGAACUGCCUUUGUGACUGCAAGGCUUGAGUGCGGCAGAGGGGGGAUGGAAUUCCGCGUGUAGCAGUGAAAUGCGUAGAUAUGCGGAGGAAACACCGAUGGCGAAGGCAAAUCCCCCUGGGGCCUGCACUGACGCUCAUGCACGAAAGCGUGGGGAGCAAAACAGGAUUAGAU
Molecule: ribosomal RNA, 442 nt
Filed under: uncultured bacterium
Lineage: Bacteria
Description: partial 16S ribosomal RNA
Rfam family: Bacterial small subunit ribosomal RNA
Source: RNAcentral